This 484-nucleotide ribosomal RNA is filed under the name Zoothamnium sp. 13 JI14041401. RNAcentral's name for it is "eukaryotic LSU rRNA". The stretch from base 130 to 275 matches the Rfam family "5.8S ribosomal RNA". Lineage: Eukaryota; Ciliophora; Oligohymenophorea; Sessilida; Zoothamnidae. The record is from RNAcentral.
GUAGGUGAACCUGCGGAAGGAUCAUUUAUAAUUCUAAAUGUUCUUCUUGAAUUAUUGUACAAAAAGAAGGAAACUUCUUUUGUUUGCCUAUUCAUAGGUUUAAUGUUAACUAACUUCCUAGAAAUCUUGAAUUUUCAACGAUGGAUAUCUAGGCUCCUAUAACGAUGAAGAACGCAGCGAAAUGCGAUACGCAAUGCGAAUUGCAGAACCGUGAGUCAUCAGAUUUUUGAACGCAAGUGGCGGCAGCUUCGGCUGUCAUGUUUGUUUCAGUGUGUUCGGUUAAUUACAUCGUAGAACUUAAUGUGAUUGAAGGAAUUCUCUCACUGAGUACGAGCCUGUGUCAGUGCGAUCAUUACACGAACUAGUCACUAAUUUGGUGAUAAUCGUGAAAGUGCUCAAGCUGUAGAAUCGCAGGUUAAUAUCUAACUAUCCAAUCAUAACACCUGAAAUAAGCAAGAUUACCCGCUGAACUUAAGCAUAUCAG